Molecule: transfer RNA, 73 nt
Filed under: Rhipicephalus sanguineus (brown dog tick)
Lineage: Eukaryota; Metazoa; Arthropoda; Arachnida; Ixodida; Ixodidae
Description: transfer RNA valine (anticodon AAC)
Rfam family: tRNA
About the family: Transfer RNA (tRNA) molecules are approximately 80 nucleotides in length. Their secondary structure includes four short double-helical elements and three loops (D, anti-codon, and T loops). Further hydrogen bonds mediate the characteristic L-shaped molecular structure. tRNAs have two regions of fundamental functional importance: the anti-codon, which is responsible for specific mRNA codon recognition, and the 3' end, to which the tRNAs corresponding amino acid is attached (by aminoacyl-tRNA synthetases). tRNAs cope with the degeneracy of the genetic code in two manners: having more than one tRNA (with a specific anti-codon) for a particular amino acid; and 'wobble' base-pairing, i.e. permitting non-standard base-pairing at the 3rd anti-codon position.
Source: Rfam by way of RNAcentral
GUGCUUGUGAUGUAGUGGUCAUCACAUCCGCCUAACACGCGGAAGGUCCCAGGUUCGAUCCCUGGCAGGCACA